RNAcentral lists this small RNA (305 nucleotides) under uncultured Glomus. RNAcentral describes it as "SSU rRNA". It matches the Rfam family "Eukaryotic small subunit ribosomal RNA", at positions 569 to 880 of the family's 1831-position model. The record is from RNAcentral. Lineage: Eukaryota; Fungi; Glomeromycota; Glomeromycetes; Glomerales; Glomeraceae.
AGCAGCCGCGGUAAUUCCAGCUCCAAUAGCGUAUAUUAAAGUUGUUGCAGUUAAAAAGCUCGUAGCUGAAUUUCGGGACCAAUAUGUUGGUCGUGUCUAGGUACGUACUGGCAUUAUUGGUUUCUUCCUUCUGAAGAACCGCGAUGUCAUUAAUUUGGUGUCGUGGGGAAUCAGGACUGUUACUUUGAAAAAUUAGAGUGUUUAAAGCAGGCUCACGCUUGAAUACAUUAGCAUGGAAUAAUGAAAUAGGACGUUUGAUUCUAUUUUGUUGGUUUCUAGGAUCGACGUAAUGAUUAAUAGGGAUA